UACGUAGGGUCCGAGCGUUGUCCGGAAUCAUUGGGCGUAAAGCGCGUGUAGGCGGCCCGGUAAGUCCGCUGUGAAAGUCCAGGGCUCAACCCUGGGAUGCCGGUGGAUACUGUCGGGCUCGAGUCCGGAAGAGGCGAGUGGAAUUCCUGGUGUAGCGGUGGAAUGCGCAGAUAUCAGGAGGAACACCGAUGGCGAAGGCAGCUCGCUGGGACGGUACUGACGCUGAGGCGCGAAAGCGUGGGGAGCGAACAGG
Molecule: ribosomal RNA, 253 nt
Filed under: uncultured bacterium
Lineage: Bacteria
Description: partial 16S ribosomal RNA
Rfam family: Bacterial small subunit ribosomal RNA
Source: RNAcentral